This 270-nucleotide ribosomal RNA is filed under the name Pseudomonas sp. 36M3 FL01. RNAcentral describes it as "partial 16S ribosomal RNA". It matches the Rfam family "Bacterial small subunit ribosomal RNA", at positions 50 to 320 of the family's 1533-position model. Lineage: Bacteria; Pseudomonadati; Pseudomonadota; Gammaproteobacteria; Pseudomonadales; Pseudomonadaceae. The record is from RNAcentral.
GCUACACAUGCAAGUCGAGCGGAUGAGUGGAGCUUGCUCCAUGAUUCAGCGGCGGACGGGUGAGUAAUGCCUAGGAAUCUGCCUGGUAGUGGGGGACAACGUUUCGAAAGGAACGCUAAUACCGCAUACGUCCUACGGGAGAAAGUGGGGGAUCUUCGGACCUCACGCUAUCAGAUGAGCCUAGGUCGGAUUAGCUAGUUGGUGAGGUAAAGGCUCACCAAGGCGACGAUCCGUAACUGGUCUGAGAGGAUGAUCAGUCACACUGGAACU